RNAcentral lists this small nuclear RNA (198 nucleotides) under Theobroma cacao (cacao). RNAcentral's name for it is "snRNA U2". It matches the Rfam family "U2 spliceosomal RNA". From Rfam's summary of the family: U2 is a small nuclear RNA (snRNA) component of the spliceosome (involved in pre-mRNA splicing). Complementary binding between U2 snRNA (in an area lying towards the 5' end but 3' to hairpin I) and the branchpoint sequence (BPS) of the intron results the bulging out of an unpaired adenosine, on the BPS, which initiates a nucleophilic attack at the intronic 5' splice site, thus starting the first of two transesterification reactions that mediate splicing. The record is from Rfam by way of RNAcentral. Lineage: Eukaryota; Viridiplantae; Streptophyta; Magnoliopsida; Malvales; Malvaceae.
UUAGCCUGGCUUACAAAAAGAUGGUCAGAGGCAUCAACCCAUCUGUUCUUAACAGUUUAAUAUCUGAUACGUGGGCCAUCGUUCCACAUGAUAUUAAAUUAAUUUUCUGAGGGGGGGUGCUCACCACAGUAGCUUGCUACUGGAGCUCCCGCGCGUCGCCUAAGCGUUGCACUACAGCUUAGGCCUGGCGCACCCCGC